CCUACGAGAGGCAGCAGUAGGGAAUAUUGCUCAAUGGGGGAAACCCUGAAGCAGCAACGCCGCGUGGAGGAUGAAGGUUUUAGGAUUGUAAACCCCCUUUGCGAGAGAAGAUAAUGACGGUAUCCCACGAAUAAGCAUCGGCUUACCCCGUGCCAGCAGCCGCGGUAAAUCGGAGGGUGCAAGCGUUACUCGGAAUCACUGGGCGUAAAGAGUGGGCAGGGGGGGGUGUAAGUCAGAUGGGAAAUCCUGUAGCUUAACUACAGAAUUGCAUUUGAAACUAUAAGUCUAGAGUGUAGGAGAGGUAGGUGGAAUUCUUGGUGUAGCGGUGAAAUGCGUAGAUAUCAGGAGGAAUACUCGUGGCGAAGGCGACCUACUGGGACAUUACUGACGCUCAUGCACGAAAGCGUGGGGAGCAAACAGGAUUAGAUACCCUGGUAGUC
RNAcentral lists this ribosomal RNA (440 nucleotides) under uncultured bacterium. RNAcentral's name for it is "partial 16S ribosomal RNA". It matches the Rfam family "Bacterial small subunit ribosomal RNA", at positions 338 to 795 of the family's 1533-position model. The record is from RNAcentral.